ACUCAAAUGAAUUGACGGGGGCUCACACAAGCGGUGGAGCAUGUGGCUUAAUUCGAGGCUACGCGAAGAACCUUACCCAGACUUGACAUGUGCGAAAGCGUCGGGAAGUAGGGGGCGGAAACGUUCCCCCAACGGUAUCCAGUCCGGAACCCGAUACAGGUGCUGCAUGGCUGUCGUCAGCUCGUGUCGUGAGAUGUCGGGUUAAGUCCCAUAACGAGCGAAACCCUUGCCCUUAGUUGCCACCAUUCAGUUGGGCACUCUAGGGGGACUGCCGGUGUUAAACCGGAGGAAGGCGGGGAUGACGUCAAGUCCUCAUGGCCUUUACGUCUGGGGCUGCACACGUGCUACAAUGCGGCGAACAAAGGGACGCAAACGCGCAAGCGCCAGCUAAUCCCAAAAAACGCCGCUCAGUUCAGAUUGAGGGCUGCAACCCGCCCUCAUGAAGCUGGAAUCGCUAGUAAUCGCGGAUCAGCAAUGCCGCGGUGAAUGUGUUCCUGAGCCUUGCACACACCGCCCGU
RNAcentral lists this ribosomal RNA (518 nucleotides) under uncultured bacterium. Its description in RNAcentral is "partial 16S ribosomal RNA". It matches the Rfam family "Bacterial small subunit ribosomal RNA", at positions 899 to 1397 of the family's 1533-position model. The record is from RNAcentral.